UGACCUUCCCCCCUUUCCCAGCUGUCCGGGCCAGGCGCGCUCAGAAGACGCGGCUGUGUGCCUUUCCCGCCUCGCCUUUCUUUUCUUGGUUUCAGUCCCUGGGUUUGCAAGCAAUUCCUCGUUCCCGCUGCCACCGUAUCUGGUAUGUGGAAGAGAGGGACAAAGAAACACGGAGGCUCAGAAAAGUUGGUUGCCCACCUCUUCUUUAUGUCACAGAAUUCUGCCCCUAGAAAGGCAAGAGGAAGAGUAGCCACGCAAAGGAUCUAGGCCACACUGCUCUGCAUGCGGGAUCUUAGUUCCCUGAUCAGGGAUGGAACCCACGGCCCCCCUGCAGUGGAAGUGUGGAGUCUCAACCACUGGACUGCCAAGGAAAUCCCACCACAUUUUAUUUAGCCGUUUAUCAGUUGAUGAACUUUUGAAUUGUUUCCAAUGAACAUUUGAGUUGUUUUUGGUUAUUAUCAAUAAUGCUGCUAUGAACAUUCAUGUACAAGUUUUUGUGUAGACAUAUGUUUUCAAUUCUCUAGGGUAUAUACUUAGGUGUGAAAUUGCUGAGUCAUAUGGUAACUGUAUGUUUAACAUUUUGAGGAAUUGCCAGACUGCGUUCCGAAGAGGCUACACAGCCUCACAU
Molecule: long non-coding RNA, 628 nt
Organism: Hippopotamus amphibius kiboko
Lineage: Eukaryota; Metazoa; Chordata; Mammalia; Artiodactyla; Hippopotamidae
Exons: 3
Source: RefSeq, a predicted model, not a curated record